AUGUGGCUGGGAGUUCUUGGCGAUGUGGGGGCCAAGUUCCAAGGACGAGAACCUGAACAGAGAGGCAGAGACAGAGAGUGCGUGCGAGCACAGCAGGGCAGCCACAUGGCCGUGUGCUCCGGCUCAGAGCCACACUGCGCACCUGCACCGCACGCUGUUGGUCAGGGUGCAAGGACGUCCUCCCCACGUUCAAGCAGAGACGCUGCAGACGUCACCUCUCGCUCAGUGGCGGUUCUGAGGCUCUUCUCCGGUAUUGCUGUGACAGUAAGGAAACGCGGAACCAUAGCAGCCUGUGUGGCUCCUGUGACAGACACUCAUAGGAACUGUACAUCCAGGGCUGUGUUUCGUGCUCAAAUCCCAGCUGCGUCACCUCACUGGCCUUGGGACCUCGAGCAGGUCUGUUCGUCAGUUCGUGCUUUCGUUUCCACCCCGCUGGAGAGUGAGGAGUGACUGUCGUCUGUGGGCAAUGGGGAGGCAGUGAGUGCUGAUGGGGCCGUGUUCUAGGAACUUUAACCUGCAGCAGAAUAUGUUGGCUCCAAGCUGGGAGAGUGGCCAAGAGGCUGCGGUAAUUGUGCCAGCGAGAGGUUGUUCCAGCCUCAGCACUGGUGCUAACACACACAGCUGCAAGCAACACUGUGGAAACGGGACAGGAGGUGGCAAGGAUUGGAGCGGGCAGCACACAGGCAGGACAGGGGCCCAGGAGGCUGGGGGCUUCUGGGCUGGAGGAAUGGGAGUUCUCAGGGCCACCGAGAGGAACAGGGAGUGCAGGAGAAGCUGAGUUCCCACUUCUACACGCUGGGAGCGGGAUGGCGCCGAGCCCUGAGAUUGCUGUUGGGAGCCUGAGCCUCUUGCGAACUGGCCAACUGGUUUGGGACAGCCCUGAUCGGCGGCUGGGCUAUGAACCUUGGGUCCCCCACAACACGGUCCACUUUGGAGCUUGGUUCCCCAUAGUUGGCUCUGUUCUGUGCCAUCCAACUAUCCUGCUUUGCUCCAUGCUGCUCUCUCCACCUAUCACUUUUUUUUGGAAUGGAAGCCAAGAGAGGAAGACCACUAUGGAGACCGCAACCUGCCCAGUGGAGGGAGAAGCCCCUUUCAGCUUCAGCCAAGCUCAAGGGCUAAGCCCAAGGGGCGCCUUUGGCUGUGGCCCCCAUCCGCAUGCACACCAUCCCCCAGCCAGGAAGGAAUUCUCGUCCAGCUGGCAGAGGUGCAAGGUGCCUUGUCGUGGGUGAACUGGGCUCACCUGGUGGGCAGCAGUGGGUGGGUGCUGAAGGGGGCUGUCAAAGGGCCCAGCUGGAGGGGCAGGCAAGUGAGAGUAGAGCAAAAGACCCAGUGCCAGGUCAUUGGACCCCCGGGCCAGGUGAGCACUGCCAGAGCCAGCAUCUUAGGAUGGCACCUCUACCGCUUUGUGUUCCCAAUCCCGAGUGUAGGAACCCGGAACUUAGUAAGUGCUCAACAAACAUCUUGGAUGAAUGAAUCAAGAAAUGCCAGAUGACUAAGCCCGAUUUGCCUGGGAGGACGGGGUGGUGGCUAGGAGGGAGGGUUGCCUGCAUACUCGCCCCAGGGCUCUGUGUGUGUGUGUGUGUGUGUGUUGUGGGGGGGGGGGCUGUGAGACAAGGUCCAGCCACAAACCUCUGGCUGCCUACCUGCAAGCAGGAAGCAGAGCUGACAUCGGCGGAGAGAGGCUUCGAGGGGUGGGGAUGCAGCCGCAGCCUCCAUUACAGCAAGACAGGCGGUGGGGGGAGGCCCUGCCAGGCUGCUUGCCCAAGAAAACCAGCCUGCUGGUCAGCCUGGCUCCCGGGACAGAGGUUGCAGACCUGGGCAACCAUGGCAGUGUAUGGUAUGCAAAUCUAUGCAAAUGAGAGCACAAAAAGCACCUCUGGUACUCCCAGGAAAGGCUAUUAGUGUCCAUCGCUGGACAGAGGUCCCUGGCAGCAAGGACUCCCAUCAUUACACCACCGCCCUAAGCCCUGCACCCCUAAAAUCCUCCUGGAUGCGGGUCUCCCUCCAGGUUAGCCAGAGACAGAAGGGAGGAGCAGCUACAGACUUGCAAAUACACUGUGUUGUUUGAUGUGUGCCCAGUUGUCCGAGAGGAGACUGUGACCCCCAAACUGGGGUCUGAAAAGCCUGCUGAUGACAGUGUGAGCUCUGCGCCUGUGCCCGCGUGUGGGUGGGGGCUGGGGCUCAGAGGUCCUGGAGCUCCCGUGGGAGGGAGGAGAGAGCACUGGGCGUGGGUCCAACCAGCCAUCCCCAUGCCUGCUGCAGCAGGAGACAGCCAGGGAGCAGGGCUUCCUUGGCCUUGGGGAGGACAGUUUCACCCUGGAGCCCAAGAGGCGCUGGGUUCAAGGUCAUAGCAAAGAUCUUGUACUGCCAGAGACCAGAGAAGAUGCGGGGUGAGAGAUGAGGGAGCUCUAGAGGGCGCAGGGAUCUCCGGUGAUGGAGGAAGCACCUGAGGCUGGAGGGGGGCCCUCUGUGCCACAGAGACAAUGGCUGGGCUGGAGGCUCCCUCCCUCCCCCAACCCACAGGAGCGUCCCCGGGGCAGGCUCUGCCCUUGCCACUCGGGAACUGGCGGCACACAUACUGACCUCAGACGGGGCACACAGAUCCUCCUCUGGUGGACUUGAAGCCCAGAGUGGAGAGUGGAAGUGGAGCAGAUCCUCUCAAGUGACAGAGGGUGAGGGCAGGAGAACACAUGGUGUCUGAUCUGUCCUGGGCGAGCAUCGGAGAGACCUGAAGCAUGAACAGGAGUUAGCCAAGAGGAGGCUGGGGAUGGAGAAGGAGUGGGGAGGUCAGCCCCACCAGGAGGACUGAGAAUUGCAAAGGUCCUGCGGUAGGAAAGAGUGGAGGGCUCCUAGGAGCUGUGCACGUGAACAAGGGGUCGGGGGUGCAGGCUGAGGUCAAGGGGCACUGUGGGCUGCAUUCAGGACUUUGGACUUGAACAUGAAGGUGAUGGAAACCAUUCACGAGUUUGAAUCAGGGAGUGGCAUGAUCAGACCUAUCAUGUCAGGAUGUUCCUGUCUCGAUGCUGGAGAAUGGGCCUGGGAGGGGGCACUGUGACCACGGUGUCCUUGAACGGCCUUUGCAGUGCUGCUGUGGUCACCGUGCAAGGAGGUCCUGCCAGACCCGAGACACGGAAAAUCACCAGGAUCACAGGAAAGGAGUCUGCCUCUACCUGGUCCUCUGGUGGUGGCAUACAAAGUAGCCAUGGUCCUCAGGCUGGGGGCAGACCGGGCUGCAACCCGCAGUGCUCCUCUUGUUCUGCUUCUGCCCAGGGUGGGAGGGAUCGGGGGCUCCCUUGCAUGGCUGGCCCCCUGCCCUGGUCCUUGACACAAGGAUUCUCGUACUCUCCCUGGGGUCCUGCCAUUUAUCACCCUCCCCUACCCCAUACACACAGCCAGGGCACCUGCUUGGCCUGGCACCCCUGACACACACCUGCAGCUGAAACCAUGUCCUUAGCGCCCCUUGCAGCCGGAGCGGCUCGCGUCAGUCUGCCUGCUGUGGCCCUUGUUGCGUGGUUCCCACAUUCCAGGGUCCCCCGUGCUCCUGCCGUGGGACCGCUUUUCUACUCCAACAAGCAGAGCCUGCCGAGGGACAAGCCUGGCAUUCGGAGGAGUGGUCCCUGGCCAGUCGUAUCUUACUCUGUAGUUACAGACGGCGCAGACAGGGUUGUGCAUGGGCUGUAAAACCAGACAGCAUGUGACAUUUAACUCAAGAUGAAAAGAACCCGUCAGUCAGAGCUGCUUGUGCUCAUCCAGAUGUUGCCGGAAACAGCUGUAUGCCAUCUGCCCGAGGGGGUGCCAGCAGCUGGAACAGCCCUCCUCAGGGCCAGGAAGGCAGACAGAGGUUGGAGGCCAAUCCGAGUGACAGAGGAGAGAUGGAGGCAGACGCAGGACGGGGGGGGGGUGGGGGCUCCCCAGGCUUGUUUAUGCUAACAAAGGCGAGUAAUGAAUUACUGAUAAGUGGCCUCUUUUAAAGGGAAAUUAUUCAAGAGAGCAGGUGAGAACCUGUAGACAUUCAUCUUCUGGGCUCUGGGAGCCGGCUGGGAGAUGGGGAGAGGUGAGGGAGAUGAUUCAUGGGCCGGCCCCGUCAUCCGUCACACGGGUGUCCUCGGCCGGGGGCAAGCAGGAUGGAUGGGCCCGGUCUCGGCUUGGCAGUGGUGGGACUCUGCCAGCUCCAUCCCACCAGCCAGGCCAACGAGGCUGGUGUGGGGCAGAGGCUGGACUGAACUUGCCGGAAAACGCCUUUGUCCAGGUGUGGUUCAAGCUCGGUGGACAGGAAGAAAUUCCUGCCUUAGGCACCAGGGGUCUUGUGAGAGGCCUUGAGUGCUAAGGCCAGCCUUGGAAAAGUAGGUGAGCAGCGCUGAUUGGUCUGGGAGUCGGGAGCCCAGUGCCAGGCUCAGCUCUGCCUCUCUCCCCAGCUGGCCCCGUUUGCAAAGGUCAGCAAAUCUGAACUUGUGCUCUGGUGAGCCCCUGGGGGCGACCUUUGGACAUAUGGUUAACCUACAUGGUGUUUGUACGUGGUAUGUUUUAGAUCUGAUGUAGUUGUUCACUUUAAGAGAAACCCCAGGGGCCGGCGCCGUGGCACAGCAGGUAAAGCCACCAUCCGCAGCACUGGCAUCCCAUACGGCUACUCCACUUCAGAUCCAGCUUCCUGUUAAUGACCUGGAAAAGCAAUGGAGGAUGGCCUAAGUGCUUGAGCCCCUGUGCCUACAUGGGAGACCGUAAGAAGCUCCUGGCUCAUGGCUUCGGCUUGGCCCGGUCUCAGCCAUUGCAGCCAUCUGGAGAAUAAACCAGCGGAUGCAAGAUCUUUCUUUGUCUCU
Long non-coding RNA from Oryctolagus cuniculus (rabbit), 4817 nucleotides. The record is from Ensembl. Lineage: Eukaryota; Metazoa; Chordata; Mammalia; Lagomorpha; Leporidae.